RNAcentral lists this long non-coding RNA (356 nucleotides) under Lathyrus oleraceus (garden pea). Its description in RNAcentral is "Pisum sativum (pea) long non-coding RNA (PSAT_LNC022770)". Lineage: Eukaryota; Viridiplantae; Streptophyta; Magnoliopsida; Fabales; Fabaceae. The record is from RNAcentral.
GGAACAUCGGUAGUUUCGAUCAACUGAAGAGGGAGCUGGUUCGUUGGUUAGAUGGUAUAUUUGGUUGACUGCGAGUCAAAACUGAUAAGAAUGUUAGGGAAAUGAUGUUUGGACGAGAUGACAUAAGUUUGAUUGUUAUAAUCAGUUAGAAAUGUUCUAUUUUAAGUUUGCUUAUGUUGUAGUGAUAUUUGUUGUGAACCUUGUUGUAACAAAAAGAUAAUGAUAUAUAAAAAUCCAAGGUUACAAAAAUUAAAAGGAGAUACUAUCUUAUGAUGCAGAUGUUGCUCCUUGAUUCAGGCAGUUGUUCUUAUUGUCUCCUGGUUGAUGACAUAUACUACAUAAUCUUAUCAUUUUAU